AACGCACAUUGCGCCCGCCAGCAUUCUGGCGGGCAUGCCUGUUCGAGCGUCAUUUCAACCCUCGAGCCCGACUUCCUUGCGGAGGACGGCUCGGCGUUGGGGGACGGCACACUCCCCCCGGCUUGCCGGGGACGCCGCCCCCGAAAUUCAGUGGCGGCCCUCGGAGGCGACCUCUGCGUAGUAAUUUAACCUCGCAAAGGAAAGCUUCGAGCGGCCACGCCGUGAAACCCCAACUAUUUUAAGGUUGACCUCGAAUCAGGUAGGACUACCCGCUGAACUUAA
RNAcentral lists this unclassified non-coding RNA (282 nucleotides) under Hypocreales sp. RNAcentral's name for it is "partial contains 5.8S ribosomal RNA, internal transcribed spacer 2, and large subunit ribosomal RNA". RNAcentral also lists the same sequence under 3 other names. Lineage: Eukaryota; Fungi; Ascomycota; Sordariomycetes; Hypocreales. The record is from RNAcentral.